This 253-nucleotide ribosomal RNA is filed under the name uncultured bacterium. Its description in RNAcentral is "partial 16S ribosomal RNA". It matches the Rfam family "Bacterial small subunit ribosomal RNA", at positions 524 to 776 of the family's 1533-position model. The record is from RNAcentral.
AACGUAGGGGGCGAGCGUUGCCCGGAUUCACUGGGCGUAAAGCGGGUGUAGGCGGUCCGGUAAGUCGGGUGUGAAAGCCCCCGGCUCAACUGGGGAGGGUCACGCGAUACUGAUCGACUCGAAGGCAGGAGAGGGAAGUGGAAUUCCCGGUGUAGUGGUGAAAUGCGUAGAUAUCGGGAGGAACACCAGUGGCGAAGGCGACUUCCUGGCCUGUUCUUGACGCUGAGGCGCGAAAGCUAGGGGAGCAAACGGG